GACUCUUCUUGGACAUCUUUUCCAGAUAUGGAACAUUUCGGAUAAAACAAGUGUAAUAAGAAAGAGCACGGGAGGAAAAAAACCAACUCUGAGUCUUCAUAUUAAUCAGAACUACUGCAAACAAGUCAUUGACAGUAAAAAUGAAAGUCUUAACCUAGAAAAAUGAUUCUGAAUUUGUUUCACCACUAGCUGUGAAAUAAACAUCCGUCUGUGGCCCAGAUGGUUUAUCAGCAUCAUCCAUCUUGACUAUUUAACUGGAGAAGCCCUCAGUCUAAAGUUUGACCUCUUCAUUCAUGCCAUGCCCUCUCCUGACUGUUGUUAGUGCAGUCUGGAUUCUAGCAAACUGCUCUUAUUAUCUGUUCCGAUGGAGAUCACCAGCGAAUGACCAGGGUGCCUUCAGUCUUCCAGUAGCAGCAAAUCAUAAGAGGACAAGAACAAGGGCUUAUGGUCUUCUAAGCAUUUUGCCGUGAAACAUGGAAUGGAUCAAUAAAACCACCUUGUCCAACGCUUCGAACAAAGACUUGGGCCACUGUGACGGGCACUGCAGGACAAUUCUGAUAACACUCUAUGGUGGGGUUUUGCUGGGAGGCACCGCUGGAGCUAUUACUAUGUCUUGUAUGAUGCUCAAAAGGAACAACCAAUCAAUGAUUGCCAUGAUCAUUCUCAA
Molecule: long non-coding RNA, 667 nt
Organism: Phacochoerus africanus (Common warthog)
Lineage: Eukaryota; Metazoa; Chordata; Mammalia; Artiodactyla; Suidae
Exons: 2
Source: RefSeq, a predicted model, not a curated record